This 474-nucleotide ribosomal RNA is filed under the name Veillonella parvula. RNAcentral's name for it is "bacterial SSU rRNA". It matches the Rfam family "Bacterial small subunit ribosomal RNA", at positions 28 to 475 of the family's 1533-position model. Lineage: Bacteria; Bacillati; Bacillota; Negativicutes; Veillonellales; Veillonellaceae. The record is from RNAcentral.
GACGAACGCUAGCGGCGUGCUUAACACAUGCAAGUCGAACGAAGAGCGAUGGAAGCUUGCUUCUAUCAAUCUUAGUGGCGAACGGGUGAGUAACGCGUAAUCAACCUGCCCUUCAGAGGGGGACAACAGUUGGAAACGACUGCUAAUACCGCAUACGAUCUAAUCUCGGCAUCGAGGAUAGAUGAAAGGUGGCCUCUACAUGUAAGCUAUCACUGAAGGAGGGGAUUGCGUCUGAUUAGCUAGUUGGAGGGGUAACGGCCCACCAAGGCGAUGAUCAGUAGCCGGUCUGAGAGGAUGAACGGCCACAUUGGGACUGAGACACGGCCCAGACUCCUACGGGAGGCAGCAGUGGGGAAUCUUCCGCAAUGGACGAAAGUCUGACGGAGCAACGCCGCGUGAGUGAUGACGGCCUUCGGGUUGUAAAGCUCUGUUAAUCGGGACGAAAGGCCUUCUUGCGAAUAGUGAGAAGGAUGG